AAUUUUCCAUCCAUUUGUUCUUUUAUUCUCCAGCUUCUUUGCCUUCAAGUAUCAAUUGACUCUUCUCAGUCACAAUUGUACAAAUCACAGAACUUUUUUUUAAAUUGGCACAAAAUAUACAUUAUUCAUCUAUUCAGUCUCAUCUGAAGGGAAUCCAAUAAAGAAGCAACUUUAUUUUCCAAUGAAAUAUUUAAAGCUGCUUUUUCACACAAGAGUCUGAGCCGAAAACUCCAUCCAUGACCCAUGUCACAAACGAAAUUGUGCAAGAGAAAAUAUGACACAUGCCUGUAAUGCAGUAAACUUCUGUCCUCGUUGGCUUCACCUGAGAUGCCUGCUCUGACCCUGGGUUAUAUGUCAGAACCUUUGAGCAAAUCGUCAACCUGCACUCUCUCGUGAGGUGAUGUAACUGCUCUUCUGAAUGCUGGGAAAUGGUUCUCCAGCAGGCAACUUGGGGCAGGUGGUAAGUGUGAGGAGACUGCAAAGGUGUGGCAGGUAGCCUAGAGGCCAGGUAUAGAGAGACACCUUGUUAUCUGUACUUCAAGAAUGGGGAGAAGUACUGGUGAGUUACAAGGAGCUGGGGAAUGUUUCACUUAGAUGGUUCUGCUCAUGGCAGUACUUCUUAGCUCUCAUUCUUUCUCACUCACUUUCUCUCUUGCUCUUCUCUCUCUCCCUUUCUCAGGCUGACUUUUAGUAAACCACCACUUUUAAAUUCCUUAAAGUCAAUGAGUCACCCACUAGUUCAAACUUGCACACAUUCCUGCACGUUACAAUUCAGAACCCUUGCCUAAUAUAUUUUUAGUUACAGAAAGAUAUCAGACUAAGAUGAGAACUGCUAAACAGGAAAAAAAAAAAAAAAGAAGCAUAUUGAGUGUUUUCCUUAUCUGUCAUCUUCCCCGUUCAUUUAAUCUAUGACAACGUGGAAGCAUUACAUGAAAAGCAACAUGGGAUCCUUCUCCUCCUGAGCUCUCCGGGAGGAGAAAAGAUAAGUGCUGGUAAACACCAAGUCACAAAUAUGGAAACACAAAGGCAGUUAGGGCUAUAUAAAAACAGACACGUCAUCGUUCAGGAGGAAGAACAUCCGUAAGACACAGGCAUUAGCAGAAUGUCUGUCAGGAGUGCAGCGGAUAGCACCUGCUUGGAAAGGCUUCAAGGAAAAGAGUUCUGAAGGGUGGUGGGGUAAUGGGCAGAGAGAGGAUGUCAGAAUUGGCAAGAGACAGCAAAGCACAGAUGUCAAGAGAUAAGAGACAAAGUGAUCCCUUGGAAACAGAGAGCAAAAGUAAUAAAAUUUGCAAAUUCCUUCAGAACCUGGUGGUACCAACACAGUCAAAGGGAACCAGAAAACUAAAUAAAUCUGAUUAGCAAGCAGACCUAAAUUAUGCUGCAUUUUCUCCUAUAAAGUGUUUGUGUCUUAUUCAGGUAAUCAAUCAGCUUUCUACUUAAAUUUAUCACAAAUGAAAAUGUGAAUGCCCCAAACCCAAAGGCAAACACACAGCUUCAGAAGUUCAGCAGUGAAUUGCCGACUUCAUAUAGAUCACUGGAAAGUAGAGGUGUAGGAAGAUGGCAGGAUUUUUAUUUUUUAAUAUAAGAUCUGCAGAUCUACAGAAUUAACUAUAUUUUUAAACAUCAAAUAUUUCUAUAUGUUUGUGGCAUACCACAUACACUUGCAAGUUUUUAAUGUGUAGAACAUUUAUAUUUUUGCUUUUUGUAUAACGCCGUCUAAUACAGUGCCAUGUUUUCACAUUUAUAAAUACUUGCUGACUAAGCUGAUCAUGCUUCUUACUCAGGUCAUAAGACUCACACACAUAUCCGUUUCAAGAAACCUUGAUUCACUCCUUUACAGAGUCGCUGCAGGCCAUGUGAGUGACAAUUGAUAUAGUGAAAUAAUAAUUUUCAUCUAGAGAGAUCAUUCGGUGUGACAGGCACUAUUCUAGUGCUUUACUCAUCAUUUCUAAUCCUUAAUGAUUAAGAAAUACCACCCUGUAAUAAAGCAGAUGUUACAGAUGAGAAAAACAGGGGCUUAGAGAAAAGAAGCAAUUUUCUUGAGUCACUCCAUUAAUGUCACUGAAAGGAGACCACAGUCUAGCUCUAACUCCACA
This is a long non-coding RNA of Tupaia belangeri chinensis (Chinese tree shrew), 2096 nucleotides long. RefSeq lists it as uncharacterized. The transcript has 3 exons. The record is from RefSeq and is a predicted model, not a curated record. Lineage: Eukaryota; Metazoa; Chordata; Mammalia; Scandentia; Tupaiidae.